UUUAAGUGCAACUAUAAAUUUCCACGCCUAAUUUUGAUCAUCCGUCUUAUUUAAAAUUUUUUUAUAAAAUUAGUAUUUUUGUUGUUAUGAGAUGAUAAAAUAUGAAUAGUACUUUACCCGUGACUUAUGUUUUUAAAUUUUUUCUAAAAUAUUUUAAAUAAGACAGACGGUUAAAGUUGGACGCAGAAAAAUAUGACUGCAUUUACA
Non-coding RNA from Oryza glaberrima (African rice), 207 nucleotides. The record is from Rfam. NCBI's taxonomy places the organism in Eukaryota, Viridiplantae, Streptophyta, Magnoliopsida, Poales, Poaceae.